CUUUAAUAAAUGAUCACAACAGAAACAACGAAGGAAGGUCAGCUUGCAGGGCUGGCGACGAGGUCAGGAUUGCAGCGGACGAAGAAGGAUGUUGUGUCCGAAAGCUCACAGGAAUCCAGGCAGAUGGUGGCACGGCAGAGGGGCGAGGAGCUGUACAAUGCUCACGGGAAUCCAGAGAGAUGGUGGCACGGCUGAGAGGCGAGGGCUGGAGUACAGCGGCAAACGGCGAGCAGGGGUAGAUGCAGUCUGAAGUAAGAGCAGAGGGAACAGAUGAGUACUGAGCUCGAGGAACAAACACUCACUAGAAUAUAACGAGGAAUAGCUGAGAGCCAAGUUACCACUAUGGUAAACGAAACGAUCUGGCGCCGAAUGCAGAUUCCAACCGGGAUAAAAAGCUGCAGCCGUAAUUAAGAGAAUCUGUCACAGCUGAGCGGCGGUGAUGAAGAACAGCCAGCAGCCGUGCAGGUAGGUCGCUCGCCCGGCCACGCCCCUUGACCUAGAUUCCGCUCCUCCGGCCAGACAGACACACAAACAGGGAAAAGAAAAGGGGGGAGAGGGAAAACAGACAAAACAAACACCCCCAGGACAGCUGUCCAUGACAUUUAUACCAAUGGUUAACGGUUAAAAAGUUAGGGGGUAGGGAACGGGUGUCCAACUGUCAUACAGGGUUUGGUUUGUAGGGUUUAAAAGACCUUAGGUGUGUCUCAAAUCGCGCACUUCUGUACUUAUACUAGCUAUUUGAGUACACUCAAUCUGUCACUCGUCGAAGUGUGGUAAAUGCAGCACACUACAUGUACCCGGAUGGUGCACUCAUAACGGUCAAAAAGUUGAGUGUGGAUCGAUGGACACUUUCCACCCUCAACGGUCGCCAUCUUGGCUACGUAGCGGAAGGGGCGGAGCUAACAAAAGGUGAAAAACUUUCGAUAAUGGCGGCCGAAUACGCGACAGCGAGACCCACGGAGUAUUACAAAUGGACACGGACGUGGCCGUCAAUGCUGCCAACUUGA
RNAcentral lists this long non-coding RNA (1007 nucleotides) under Sander lucioperca (pikeperch). RNAcentral describes it as "lncRNA (ENSSLUG00000007635.1)". Lineage: Eukaryota; Metazoa; Chordata; Actinopteri; Perciformes; Percidae. The record is from RNAcentral.